GAUGAAGAACGCAGCGAAAUGCGAUACGUAAUGUGAAUUGCAGAAUUCAGUGAAUCAUCGAGUCUUUGAACGCACAUUGCGCCCGCCAGUAUUCUGGCGGGCAUGCCUGUCUGAGCGUCAUUUCAACCCUCAUGCCCCUAGGGCGUGGUGUUGGGGAUCGGCCAAAGCCCGCGAGGGACGGCCGGCCCCUAAAUCUAGUGGCGGACCCGUCGUGGCCUCCUCUGCGAAGUAGUGAUAUUCCGCAUCGGAGAGCGACGAGCCCCUGCCGUUAAACCCCCAACUUUCCAAGGUUGACCUCAGAUCAGGUAGGAAUACCCGCUGAACUUAAGCAUAUCAAUAAGCGGAGGA
RNAcentral lists this unclassified non-coding RNA (348 nucleotides) under soil metagenome. Its description in RNAcentral is "partial contains 5.8S ribosomal RNA, internal transcribed spacer 2, and large subunit ribosomal RNA". The stretch from base 1 to 120 matches the Rfam family "5.8S ribosomal RNA", at positions 35 to 154 of the family's 154-position model. The record is from RNAcentral.